ACGGGGAUAAGACAUCGGAAGAGCUGCUUCCUUAUAGGAAGAAGUCAUAUUCUAGUGGCGGACGGGUGAGUAACGCGUGGGCAACCUGCCUUAUACAGGGGGAUAUCAGCAGGAAACAGCUGCUAAUACCGCAUAAGCGCACAGUACUGCAUGGUACAGUGUGAAAAACUGAGGUGGUAUAAGAUGGGCCCGCGUCUGAUUAGCUGGUUGGGAGGGUAACGGCCUACCAAGGCGACGAUCAGUAGCCGGCCUGAGAGGGCGGACGGCCACAUUGGGACUGAGACACGGCCCAGACUCCUACGGGAGGCAGCAGUGGGGAAUAUUGCACAAUGGGGGGAACCCUGAUGCAGCGACGCCGCGUGAGUGAAGAAGUAUUUCGGUACGUAAAGCUCUAUCAGCAGGGAAGAAAAAAGGACGGUACCUGUGUAAGAAGCCCCGGCUAACUACGUGCCAGCAGCCGCGGUAAUACGUAGGGGGCAAGCGUUAUCCGGAAUUACUGGGUGUAAAGGGAGCGUAGACGGCAAUGCAAGUCCGGAGUGGAAUGCGGCAGCUCAACUGCCGAACUGCUCUGGAAACUGUAUGGCUUGAGUGCAGGAGGGGUAAGCGGAAUUC
This 612-nucleotide ribosomal RNA is filed under the name uncultured bacterium. RNAcentral's name for it is "bacterial SSU rRNA". It matches the Rfam family "Bacterial small subunit ribosomal RNA", at positions 42 to 669 of the family's 1533-position model. The record is from RNAcentral.